Molecule: long non-coding RNA, 291 nt
Organism: Erigeron canadensis
Lineage: Eukaryota; Viridiplantae; Streptophyta; Magnoliopsida; Asterales; Asteraceae
Exons: 2
Source: RefSeq, a predicted model, not a curated record
UACUUUGCUUUUGUGCUUUUCUUCUAGCUCUUCUUUCUCUUGAGCUCAAUGACGUCUUGAAUCCUUCGGAUUCGUCGUCAUCCCAAUCUCUGUACCUCUCGAAGCUCGGAGAAGCUAACGACGUAGAAAGUAACAGCAGCUGCGGCUACAAUUCCAAGCACGGGGAGGGCGACUUGCUGUAAUCCGUCCAUCCUUCACAAUUCUUUUUCACGUAUGCUUUUUUGUGGCUUCAAUGUGCUUAUACUUUACACCUUAUCCUUUCAUUUGAAAUAUUAAUAGCUAUUUAUCCUA